CAGGUAGUGAAUGGCUCGGUUCGAGAAGCCGACGAAGGACGUGGCAAGCUGCGAUAAGCUUGGGCGAGGUGCAUGCAGCCUUUGAGCUCAAGAUUUCCGAAU
This 102-nucleotide ribosomal RNA is filed under the name Nanohaloarchaea archaeon SW_7_43_1. Its description in RNAcentral is "partial 23S ribosomal RNA". It matches the Rfam family "Archaeal large subunit ribosomal RNA", at positions 19 to 119 of the family's 2987-position model. Lineage: Archaea; Methanobacteriati; Methanobacteriota; Candidatus Nanohaloarchaea. The record is from RNAcentral.